CCUACGGGAGGCAGCAGUGAGGAAUAUUGGUCAAUGGGCGCGAGCCUGAACCAGCCAAGUCGCGUGAGGGAUGACGGCCCUACGGGUUGUAAACCUCUUUUGCCGGGGAGCAACGGGCGCCACGUGUGGCGCCACUGAGAGUACCCGGAGAAAAAGCAUCGGCUAACUCCGUGCCAGCAGCCGCGGUAAGACGGAGGAUGCGAGCGUUAUCCGGAUUUAUUGGGUUUAAAGGGUGCGUAGGCGGACCGUUAAGUCAGUGGUAAAAUUGAGGGGCUAAACCCCUUCCCGCCAUUGAAACUGGCGCUCUUGAGUGGAAGAGAAGUAUGCGGAAUGCGUGGUGUAGCGGUGAAAUGCAUAGAUAUGACGCAGAACCCCGAUUGCGAAGGCAGCAUGCCGGCUUCCGACUGACGCUGAAGCACGAAAGCGUGGGGAUCGAACAGGAUUAGAUACCCGGGUAGUC
Molecule: ribosomal RNA, 460 nt
Filed under: uncultured bacterium
Lineage: Bacteria
Description: partial 16S ribosomal RNA
Rfam family: Bacterial small subunit ribosomal RNA
Source: RNAcentral